RNAcentral lists this ribosomal RNA (440 nucleotides) under uncultured bacterium. RNAcentral describes it as "bacterial SSU rRNA". It matches the Rfam family "Bacterial small subunit ribosomal RNA", at positions 28 to 448 of the family's 1533-position model. The record is from RNAcentral.
GAUGAACGCUGGCGGCGUGCUUAACACAUGCAAGUCGAACGAAGCACUUUAUUAUGAUUUCUUCGGAAUGACGAUUUAGUGACUGAGUGGCGGACGGGUGAGUAACGCGUGGGUAACCUGCCUUAUACAGGGGGAUAACAGUUAGAAAUGACUGCUAAUACCGCAUAAGCGCACAGGAUUGCAUGAUCUAGUGUGAAAAACUCCGGUGGUAUAAGAUGGACCCGCGUCUGAUUAGCUAGUUGGUGAGGUAACGGCCCACCAAGGCGACGAUCAGUAGCCGACCUGAGAGGGUGACCGGCCACAUUGGGACUGAGACACGGGCCCAGACUCCUACGGGAGGCAGCAGUGGGGAAUAUUGCACAAUGGAGGAAACUCUGAUGCAGCGACGCCGCGUGAGUGAAGAAGUAGUUCGCUAUGUAAAGCUCUAUCAGCAGGGAAGA